GGAAAUCAUCAAUUCGUAGUACCAAAAAGGAUACUUUUAUCUCUGGAUGACUCUCUUCUCUAUUCCAAAGUUGUAAUAUUAUUAUUUUUACAUUUUCUUAUCUAUGAGUCUCUAAAUAAGCCUACAGCUUAUAGAUAGUAGUAUGUCCUCUAUGUGUUCAAAAUUUGCUUAUUUUAAAUUUCGACAUGAACUUUGUUAAGUUAUUAUAAUGAUAUUCGUAUUUUCAAUUUGU
Molecule: long non-coding RNA, 232 nt
Filed under: Nicotiana benthamiana
Lineage: Eukaryota; Viridiplantae; Streptophyta; Magnoliopsida; Solanales; Solanaceae
Description: long non-coding RNA (NBEN_LNC024295)
Source: RNAcentral